CAAUAGCGUAUAUUAAAGUUGUUGCGGUUAAAAAGCUCGUAGUUGGAUUUCUGUUGGGAACGACCGGUCCGCCCGUUGGGUGUGUAUCUGGCUUGUUCUCGGCAUCUUCUUGGUGAACGUUGCUGCACUUGACUGUGUGGAGCGCUACCCAGGACUUUUACUUUGAGGAAAUUAGAGUGUUUCAAGCAGGCAUAUGCCUUGAAUACAUUAGCAUGGAAUAAUAAGAUAGGACCUCGGUUCUAUUUUGUUGGUUUCUAGAGCUGAGGUAAUGAUUAAUAGGGAUAGUUGGGGGCAUUCGUAUUUAACUGUCAGAGGUGAAAUUCUUGGAUUUGUUAAAGACGGACUACUGCGAAANCANNNGCCAAGGAUGUUUUCAUNGA
RNAcentral lists this ribosomal RNA (380 nucleotides) under uncultured eukaryote. RNAcentral describes it as "partial 18S ribosomal RNA". It matches the Rfam family "Eukaryotic small subunit ribosomal RNA", at positions 592 to 976 of the family's 1831-position model. The record is from RNAcentral.